RNAcentral lists this ribosomal RNA (253 nucleotides) under uncultured bacterium. RNAcentral's name for it is "partial 16S ribosomal RNA". It matches the Rfam family "Bacterial small subunit ribosomal RNA", at positions 524 to 776 of the family's 1533-position model. The record is from RNAcentral.
UACGGGGGGGGCAAGCGUUGUUCGGAAUUACUGGGCGUAAAGGGCUCGUAGGUGGCCAACUAAGUCAGACGUGAAAUCCCCAGGCUCAACUUGGGAACUGCGUCUGAUACUGGAUGGCUUGAAUUCGGGAGAGGGAUGCAGAAUUCCAGGUGUAGCGGUGAAAUGCGUAGAUAUCUGGAGGAAUACCGGUGGCGAAGGCGGCAUCCUGGACCGAGAUUGACACUGAUGAGCGAAAGCUAGGGGAGCGAACGGG